UACGUAGGGUGCAAGCGUUAAUCGGAAUUACUGGGCGUAAAGCGUGCGUAGACGGUUAUCUAAGUCGGGUGUGAAAGCCCCGGGCUCAACCUGGGAAUUGCAUUCGAGACUGAAUAGCUAGGGUUCGGAAGAGGGAAGCGGAAUUUCCGGUGUAGCGGUGAAAUGCGUAGAUAUCGGAAGGAACACCAGUGGCGAAAGCGGCUUCCUGGUCCAGAACCGACGUUCAGGCACGAAAGCGUGGGGAGCAAACAGG
Molecule: ribosomal RNA, 253 nt
Filed under: uncultured bacterium
Lineage: Bacteria
Description: partial 16S ribosomal RNA
Rfam family: Bacterial small subunit ribosomal RNA
Source: RNAcentral